UCGAAUCCUGCGAUAGUAGAAUGACCCGCUAACACGUAAAAGCACCAGGCAAGCGUUGGUGGCCUUGUGUCCCCCGCUUGCGAACCCAAGGUAGGUGGCCCCUCUCGGGUGUCCGCCGGCCUACGAAAUCAACCGGGCGCGGAAUGCGCCAAGGAAAUCAAUACUGAAUUUGUACGUUCGCUUCUCGUUCGCGGGCAGUGGCGUCAUUCUGAAACACAAAUGACUCUCGGCAACGGAUAUCCCGGCUCUCGCAUCGAUGAAGAACGUAGCGAAAUGCGAUACUUGGUGUGAAUUGCAGAAUCCCGUGAACCAUCGAGUCUUUGAACGCAAGUUGUGCCUGAAGCCAUUAGGCUGAGGGCACGUCUGCCUGGGUGUCACGCAUCGUGUUGCCCCCGACCACAUACUUCUUUUGGAGAUGUGCCGGUUCGGGGGCGGAUACUGGCCUCCCGUGCCCUGUUGCGCGGCUGGCGCAAAAUUAAUCUCUGGUGAUGGACGUCGCGACAUCGGUGGUUGUAAGAAGACCCUCCUAGUCUUGUCGCGUGAAUGCCCAUCACCUUAGUCGAGGACCCAUAGGCUUCACAACCUGUGUUUGCUUCGA
This 598-nucleotide ribosomal RNA is filed under the name Aciphylla congesta. RNAcentral's name for it is "eukaryotic LSU rRNA". The stretch from base 222 to 377 matches the Rfam family "5.8S ribosomal RNA". The record is from RNAcentral. Lineage: Eukaryota; Viridiplantae; Streptophyta; Magnoliopsida; Apiales; Apiaceae.